This 580-nucleotide long non-coding RNA is filed under the name Capsella rubella. RNAcentral describes it as "long non-coding RNA (CRUB_LNC004822)". Lineage: Eukaryota; Viridiplantae; Streptophyta; Magnoliopsida; Brassicales; Brassicaceae. The record is from RNAcentral.
ACGGUAUCUGAUGUCCAAAGUUGAAAAAAUGUGUUUGGACAUUUCGUUUUUCUUAGGCAGAAAGUGAAAUCAGGCUUUGCGACACUGUUAGCUUCUUAUACCAUAAGCUACCUGUUACUUUUAUACCUGUUUACAUCUAUCUUUUAUCAAUCUCUGGUUUUAACCCUAACCCAUUCUUAGAUUUUAUUCGUAUCAUCUCGUCUUUUACAUUGUUCUUGUUGUAGGUUUUAUUGACUUGGUUCUCUUGGUAUUGAAGUUGCUUCCAUGGGGAUAAUCUCUUGAACCAUCUCUGUCGUUCAUAUGAUGCCUUAAGGGGAUGUCAACUAUCUUAUUGAUCCGUGUUUUAUUGACAAGUUCUUGUAAGAGAGGGAAGAGCUUUGAAGGGAUUUACUACUGGAAUAUCAAAGUCACAAGUGCUUAUUAGACUAGAUGGAGUUUGUAUCAGAAUUCUUAUGUGAUUUAACAUUCUGACUUGUAUGAUUAUAUGAUAACGAGAGUUACUCCAAUCUUUUGUUUUGACCCGAAAUAUAAACAAGACAUGAUUUUUGAACAAAAUGUGAUACACAUUCUUGGUUUCGGC